AACCCGUCGGCUGUCAGCGGA
This 21-nucleotide small nuclear RNA is filed under the name Arabidopsis thaliana (thale cress). RNAcentral describes it as "snRNA_16624". The record is from RNAcentral. Lineage: Eukaryota; Viridiplantae; Streptophyta; Magnoliopsida; Brassicales; Brassicaceae.